This 90-nucleotide transfer RNA is filed under the name Rhodospirillaceae bacterium. Its description in RNAcentral is "tRNA-Ser". It matches the Rfam family "tRNA". Rfam says of the family: Transfer RNA (tRNA) molecules are approximately 80 nucleotides in length. Their secondary structure includes four short double-helical elements and three loops (D, anti-codon, and T loops). RNAcentral also lists the same sequence under 1 other name. The record is from RNAcentral. Lineage: Bacteria; Pseudomonadati; Pseudomonadota; Alphaproteobacteria; Rhodospirillales; Rhodospirillaceae.
GGAGAGGUGGCAGAGUGGUUGAAUGCACUGGUCUUGAAAACCAGCAUACGAGCAAUCGUAUCGGGAGUUCGAAUCUCCCUCCCUCCGCCA